GAUGAACGCUGGCGGCGUGCUUAAUACAUGCAAGUCGAACGAAGCACCUUGGACAGAAUCCUUCGGGAGGAAGACCAUUGUGACUGAGUGGCGGACGGGUGAGUAACGCGUGGGUAACCUGCCCUAUACAGGGGGACAACAGUUGGAAACGACUGCUAAUACCGCAUAAGCGCACGGUAUCGCAUGAUACAGUGUGAAAAACUCCGGUGGUAUAAGAUGGACCCGCGUCUGAUUAGCUUGUUGGUGAGGUAACGGCCCACCAAGGCGACGAUCGGUAGCCGACCUGAGAGGGUGACCGGCCACAUUGGGACUGAGACACGGCCCAGACUCCUACGGGAGGCAGCAGUGGGGGAUAUUGCACAAUGGGGGAAACCCUGAUGCAGCGACGCCGCGUGAGGGAAGACGGUCCUCUGGAUUGUAAACCUCUGUCUUCGGGGACGAAACGAGACGGUACCUGAGGAGGAAGCCACGGCUAACUACGUG
RNAcentral lists this ribosomal RNA (483 nucleotides) under uncultured bacterium. RNAcentral's name for it is "bacterial SSU rRNA". It matches the Rfam family "Bacterial small subunit ribosomal RNA", at positions 28 to 507 of the family's 1533-position model. The record is from RNAcentral.